UACGUAAACAACCCCAGGCUGACACCGG
RNAcentral lists this non-coding RNA (28 nucleotides) under Drosophila melanogaster (fruit fly). Lineage: Eukaryota; Metazoa; Arthropoda; Insecta; Diptera; Drosophilidae. The record is from RNAcentral.